GGGCGCGUAGCUCAGCGGGAGAGCACCCGGCUUACAACCGGGCGGUCGCUGGUUCGAUCCCAGCCGCGCCCACCU
Molecule: transfer RNA, 75 nt
Filed under: Pseudonocardiales bacterium
Lineage: Bacteria; Bacillati; Actinomycetota; Actinomycetes; Pseudonocardiales
Description: tRNA-Val
Rfam family: tRNA
About the family: Transfer RNA (tRNA) molecules are approximately 80 nucleotides in length. Their secondary structure includes four short double-helical elements and three loops (D, anti-codon, and T loops).
Source: RNAcentral